AUGGGUGGCCCCGAGGGGGGUGGGGGAGGGGCUCAGGGGGGUGGGGGAGGGGCUCAGGGUGGGGGAGGGGCCGAUGGCCACGCCCCCGCCCCGCCCCCCCCGCGCCGCGCGCUGCGGCCCCGCCCCCGCCCCGAGAGCCCCGACAGUGAUGGUGAGGGGGGGGAGGGGAAUUUGGGGGGAUUUUGGGACUUUUGGGGGGGGAUUUGGGGAUAUUUUGGGGGGAUUUGGGGGGGAUUUGGGAGAUUUGGGGGGAUUUUGGGGGGCAUUCGAGGAUAUUUUUGGGUGGUUUGGGGGGGUUUGGGGGGAUUUGGGGGGAUUUUGGGAAAAUUUGGGGGGAUUUGGGGGAUUUUUGGGGGGUUUAAGGACAUUUUGGGUGAAUUUUGGGGGGAUUUUGGGGGGAUUUUGAGGGAUUUUGGGGGGAUUAUGGGGGGGUUUGGAGGGAUUUUGGGGGGAUUUAGGGGAUUUUUGGGAGAUUUUGGGAUAUUUGGAGGGAUUUUAGGACAUUAUGGGGGAUUUGGGGACUUUUUGGGGACAUUUGGGGACAUUUUGGAGGUUUGGGGACAAUUUGGGGGGAUUUCAGGGAGAUUUUGGGGGAUUUGGGGACAUUUUGGGGGGAUUUGGGGGGGUUUUGGGGGAUUUUGGGGGGAUUUGGGGAUUUUGGGGGGUUUUGGGGAUAUUUUGGGGGGUUUGGGGGGAUUUUGGGGGAAUUUGGGGGGAUUUGGAGGGAUUUUGGGGGGUUUGGGGACAUUUUUGGGGGAAUUUGGGGACAUUUUGGGGAGGUUUUGGGGAGAUUUUGGGGGAGUUUGGGGACAUUUUGGGGGACUUUCGGGGAGGGUUUUGGGGAGGUUUAGGGAGGUUUGGGGGGGGUUGGGGAGAUUUGGGGGAUUUUGGGGACAUUUUAGGGGGUUUAGGGGGAUUUUGGGGAGGGUUUUGGGGGAUUUUGGGGGGGCUUGGGGGGGUUUAGGGACAUUUUGGGGACAUUUUGGGGAAAUUUGGGAUAUUUUUGGGGGGUUUAAGGACAUUUUGGGGGGAUUUGGGGAAAUUGUGUGGGAUUUGGGGAUAUUUUGGGGGGUUUUGGGGAUAUUUUGGGGCGUUUGGGGGGGUUUGGGGGGGAUUUGGAGGGGUUUGGGGGAUUUUGGGGGGGAUUUUGGGGGAUUUGGGUGGGUUUGGGGUCAUUUUGGGACAUUUUGCGGGGAUUUUGGGGGCAUUUGGGGUCAUUUGGGCACAUUUUGGGGACAUUUUGGAGGGUUUUGGGGACUAUUUGGGGGGAUUUGGGGAGAUUUGGGAACAUUUUGGGGAAAUUUUGGGAACGUUUUGGGGCCAUUUUGGGACAUUUUGUGGCCAUUUUGGGGACAUUUGGGGACAUUUUGGGGACAUUUUGGGGACAUUUUGUCUCCCCAAAAUAUCCCCAAAACCCCCCAAAUCCCCCCAAACCCCCCAAAUUCCCGCUCUGACCCCGCCCCUCCCCCCGCAGAGGCCCCGCCCCGUUCUGGCCCCGCCCCCCCGCUGCGGCCCCGCCCCCUCCAACCACUGCUGCAGCUGCGGGCCCGGCGGAGGCAGCAGCAGGUGGGGGAGGGG
Molecule: long non-coding RNA, 1578 nt
Organism: Taeniopygia guttata (zebra finch)
Lineage: Eukaryota; Metazoa; Chordata; Aves; Passeriformes; Estrildidae
Source: Ensembl